This 320-nucleotide ribosomal RNA is filed under the name uncultured eukaryote. Its description in RNAcentral is "partial 18S ribosomal RNA". It matches the Rfam family "Eukaryotic small subunit ribosomal RNA", at positions 1470 to 1796 of the family's 1831-position model. The record is from RNAcentral.
CCCCUAGAUGUUCUGGGCCGCACGCGCGCUACACUGAACAGUUCAACAAGUCUUAACCUUGGCCGAUAGGUCUGGGUAAUCUUUGAACGCUGUUCGUGAUUGGGAUAGACCUUUGCAAUUAUGGGUCUUCAACGAGGAAUUCCUAGUAAACGCAAGUCAUCAGCUUGCAUUGAUUACGUCCCUGCCCUUUGUACACACCGCCCGUCGCACCUACCGAUUGAAUGGUCCGGUGAAAUCUCGGGACGGCGGCUUGGUCGCUUGCGUCCGACUGCUGAAACUUUAUUAAACCAUAUCAUUUAGAGGAAGGUGAAGUCGUANCA